This 316-nucleotide long non-coding RNA is filed under the name Phoenix dactylifera (date palm). Its description in RNAcentral is "long non-coding RNA (PDAC_LNC014125)". Lineage: Eukaryota; Viridiplantae; Streptophyta; Magnoliopsida; Arecales; Arecaceae. The record is from RNAcentral.
AGAUGUGGUAAAUUUUGGCUCUUUUUUCACUUGGAUCAUAAUACUUACUUUGUUGUCCUCAAUCUGACUUUCAAGCUGAAAUAAUUUAUCUGAUGUUGAAAUUGAUCCUGGCUUCUCCUCCAUGAUGUCUUUGUGCGCUUUGCCAAGCUCUCUAGUUGUUGAUAAUAUGAUACUCUGCCUUUUGUGUGCAGGGCUGUUGGUGUUAUGACACUUCACCUUUGAUGUACACCUAAAAAAUCUCCCAAUUUGGAAUUUCUGUAAUUCAGUCAACUUACAAUUCUUCCUUGAAUCAUGAUAUUUCGAGGUUAGUAGAGAG